Molecule: ribosomal RNA, 467 nt
Filed under: uncultured bacterium
Lineage: Bacteria
Description: partial 16S ribosomal RNA
Rfam family: Bacterial small subunit ribosomal RNA
Source: RNAcentral
GACGAACGCUGGCGGCGUGCUUAACACAUGCAAGUCGAACGGAAAGGCCCUGCUUUUGUGGGGUGCUCGAGUGGCGAACGGGUGAGUAACACGUGAGUAACCUGCCCUUGACUUUGGGAUAACUUCAGGAAACUGGGGCUAAUACCGGAUAGGAGCUCCUGCUGCAUGGUGGGGGUUGGAAAGUUUCGGCGGUUGGGGAUGGACUCGCGGCUUAUCAGCUUGUUGGUGGGUAGUGGCUUACCAAGACUUUGACGGGUAGCCGGCCUGAGAGGGUGACCGGCCACAUUGGGACUGAGAUACGGCCCAGACUCCUACGGGAGGCAGCAGUGGGGAAUAUUGCACAAUGGGCGGAAGCCUGAUGCAGCAACGCCGCGUGCGGGAUGACGGCCUUCGGGUUGUAAACCGCUUUCGCCUGUGACGAAGCGUGAGUGACGGUAAUGGGUAAAGAAGCACCGGCUAACUACGUG